AAUGUGUAGCAAAAGACAGGA
RNAcentral lists this non-coding RNA (21 nucleotides) under Mus musculus (house mouse). RNAcentral also lists the same sequence under 1 other name. Lineage: Eukaryota; Metazoa; Chordata; Mammalia; Rodentia; Muridae. The record is from RNAcentral.